Molecule: long non-coding RNA, 1258 nt
Organism: Octopus bimaculoides (California two-spot octopus)
Lineage: Eukaryota; Metazoa; Mollusca; Cephalopoda; Octopoda; Octopodidae
Source: RefSeq, a predicted model, not a curated record
GAGAGGAGAGAGAGAUGAAAUAUAUAUAAUAGACUCUCCUAUCAUUAGACGACACAUAAGGGUUCGACAAUUUCUUACCGAACAACCACACAACUGAUUCGUUUGUAGUGAUGAAAUAACGUUUGUGCAGACAUAACCUCCCUCCCUCCAUCAAAUCGGCAUUGCAUGUACAGGUGCACCUUUCCAUUUUAAGUUGUGCUUGUUCAUGCACCAUUCCUGAAUAUGUUUUUAAAUGUGUCACUGUUUUUGUCCCUUUAAUUGAGAUUAUGAGAUAUAAGAAACGAUAUAAUAGCUGUUAGCCGUAUACCUGGUGUCAAAAGGUUAUAUGUUCUUUUAAAUCCUUUGCAACAGAGUCUACUUUUGUCACAGACCAACGAAUGGAUGAAUUGCAUUAAUAAAGAAAAAAACGAAACCAUUAAAGGUUAUGCGCUUGUACUUGUUUAUAUAUGUGGAUGUGACUGUCUUUCUGGAAGUAUGUAUAUGGCUAACGAAUCAGAUAGCUAGACAGAAGGUUAAAGGGAAGAUUGAUUACAAAUUAAAAAAAAAAGAAUAUUAAUAAACAUGAUAUACAGCUUUUCAUAUAAAGUGCAUUAAUAAAGAAAAAAACAGCUUUUCACAUUAAUUGCAUUAAUAAAGAAAAAAACGAAACCAUUAAAGCACUUGUACUUGUUUAUAUAUGUGGAUGUGCCUGUCUUUCUGGAAGUAUGUAUAUGGCUAACGAAUCAGAUAGCUAGACAGAAGGUUAAUGGGAAGAUUGAUUACAAAUUAAAAAAAAAAAAAGAAUAUUAAUAAACAUGAUAUACAGCUUUUCAUAUAAAUACUUACCAACAAAGAGAAAAGACACUGCUAAGAUAUAUUUCAUCGUGUAUGUUAGAAAACAAUAUCUGUUGCUUUAAGAAUCGCAGGAAACUGAACCUAUUUUUAUAUUAAAAGAAAAAAAUUGGAACUAAUAGGCUGCAACAUGUGUUACCCAUGAGCAUAUUUCACACAUUAAACAGUUGCCGUGCAGCGAUAUCUCAUUGAAGGCUGUAUUCAAUAAAAUAGGCCACUAUUUUAUUUUCCUAAAUCUGCUACACAUACCAUUGCAGUUUUGUUUGAUUAUACUGCACAUCUUAUUCAUGAAAGGCAUCAGGUUCUCUUGUUACUGUCCUAUAAAUAGAAGAAAUUAAUGAAUAUAUUGACAUAGGCAUUGUCUCUAUUGUGUUCCAAAGAUGUAAAGAAUUUUAUUGGAAAUGUAAUGCAAAAUGCUUAAAAGUAA